Non-coding RNA from Biomphalaria pfeifferi, 471 nucleotides. Lineage: Eukaryota; Metazoa; Mollusca; Gastropoda; Planorbidae. The record is from the annotation of a GenBank genome assembly.
UGAGUCACCAAGACACUGAGUCACCAAGACACUGAGUCACCAAGACACUGAGUCAAUAAGUAUGAAGGGAAGAAUGUAUACUAAAAGGGUAACAUGUUACAGUGAGUAAUAUCAUUCAAGGGAAUAUCAAAUAACAAUGACGAGACAUAAACAUUUAUAUAGAGCGCUAGAAAGUGUGUACAUACAUGUGUCGUGUGUACUUUGUCUUUAGAAAUAAACAGUUCCAAUAGACCUCAUUUACCAAUCGUAAACAAACAACAUUUAGCCACCUGGUUCUCUAUCUCCUUAUACAAAUUACGUAAUACACACAGGCUGUCACGUGACAGUUUUUUUAUUUCAUUGUUUUAUCAGUAUUAUCACGUGGUUAAAUGUUGUUUGUUUACGAUAGGUGAAUGAGGUCCAUUGCGUUGAGCAAAAAUAAGAAAUGAAUUUUUUUAAAAUAGAUUAUUUUGGUCUCUUGUCAUGUCUUCC